UACGUAGGGGGCGAGCGUUAUCCGGAUUUACUGGGUGUAAAGGGAGCGUAGACGGCGUCGCAAGUCUGAAGUGAAAGCCCGUGGCUCAACCGCGGAACCGCUUUGGAAACUGUGAGGCUGGAGUGCUGGAGAGGUAAGCGGAAUUCCUGGUGUAGCGGUGAAAUGCGUAGAUAUCACGCAGAACCCCGAUUGCGAAGGCAGCAUACCGGCGCUCAACUGACGCUGAGGCACGAAAGUGCGGGUAUCGAACAGG
Molecule: ribosomal RNA, 253 nt
Filed under: uncultured Lachnospiraceae bacterium
Lineage: Bacteria; Bacillati; Bacillota; Clostridia; Lachnospirales; Lachnospiraceae
Description: partial 16S ribosomal RNA
Rfam family: Bacterial small subunit ribosomal RNA
Source: RNAcentral